AUUGAACGCUGGCGGCAUGCCUAACACAUGCAAGUCGAACGGCAGCACGGUCUGGUUUACCAGAUGGGUGGCGAGUGGCGAACGGGUGAGUAAAGCGUAGGAAUAUACCUUAAAGAGGGGGAUAACCUGGGGAAACUCAGGCUAAUACCGCGUAAACUCUGCGGAGCAAAGCUGGGGACCGAAAGGCCUGGCGCUUUAAGAAUAGCCUGCGUCCGAUUAGCUAGUUGGUGGGGUAAAGGCUCACCAAGGCGACGAUCGGUAGCUGGUCUGAGAGGACGAACAGCCACACUGGGACUGAGACACGGCCCAGACUCCUACGGGAGGCAGCAUGGGGAAUAUUGGACAAUGGGGGGAACCCUGAUCCAGCAAUGCCGCGUGUGUGAAGAAGGCCUGAGGGUUGUAAAGCACUUUCAGUGGGAGGAGGAUUACUAGGUUAAGAGCCAGGUAAUUGGACGUUACCCACAGAAGAAGCACCGGCUAACUCCGUGCCAGCAGCCGCGGU
RNAcentral lists this ribosomal RNA (502 nucleotides) under uncultured bacterium. RNAcentral describes it as "bacterial SSU rRNA". It matches the Rfam family "Bacterial small subunit ribosomal RNA", at positions 29 to 521 of the family's 1533-position model. The record is from RNAcentral.